This 429-nucleotide ribosomal RNA is filed under the name Pseudomonadota bacterium. Its description in RNAcentral is "Proteobacteria bacterium partial 16S ribosomal RNA". It matches the Rfam family "Bacterial small subunit ribosomal RNA", at positions 355 to 776 of the family's 1533-position model. Lineage: Bacteria; Pseudomonadati; Pseudomonadota. The record is from RNAcentral.
UGGGGAAUAUUGGACAAUGGGCGAAAGCCUGAUCCAGCCAUGCCGCGUGUGUGAAGAAGGUCUUCGGAUUGUAAAGCACUUUAAGUUGGGAGGAAGGGCAGUAAGCGAAUACCUUGCUGUUUUGACGUUACUCGCAGAAUAAGCACCGGCUAACUCUGUGCCAGCAGCCGCGGUAAUACAGAGGGUGCGAGCGUUAAUCGGAUUUACUGGGCGUAAAGCGUGCGUAGGCGGCUAAUUGAGUCGGAUGUGAAAUCCCCGAGCUUAACUUGGGAAUUGCAUUCGAUACUGGUUAGCUAGAGUGUGGGAGAGGAUGGUAGAAUUCCAGGUGUAGCGGUGAAAUGCGUAGAUAUAGGAAGGAACACCAGUGGCGAAGGCGACCACCUGGGCUCAUACUGACACUGAGGUGCGAAAGCGUGGGGAGCAAACAGG